Molecule: ribosomal RNA, 318 nt
Filed under: Beauveria sp. SW091
Lineage: Eukaryota; Fungi; Ascomycota; Sordariomycetes; Hypocreales; Cordycipitaceae
Description: LSU rRNA
Rfam family: Eukaryotic large subunit ribosomal RNA
Source: RNAcentral
AGACCGAUAGCGAACAAGUAGAGAGACCGAUAGCGAACAAGCACUUUGAAAAGAGGGUUAAAAAGUACGUGAAAUUGUUGAAAGGGAAGCGCCUAUGACCAGACUUGGGCCCGGUGAAUCACCCAGCGUUCUCGCUGGUGCACUUUGCCGGGCACAGGCCAGCAUCAGUUCAGCGCGGGGGAGAAAGGCUUCGGGAAUGUGGCUCCCUCGGGAGUGUUAUAGCCCGCUGCGUAAUGCCCUGCGCCGGACUGAGGUACGCGCAUUGCAAGGAUGCUGGCGUAAUGGUCAUCAGCGACCCGUCUUGAAACACGGACCAAG